RNAcentral lists this signal recognition particle RNA (323 nucleotides) under Thermoplasmata archaeon. Its description in RNAcentral is "signal recognition particle sRNA". It matches the Rfam family "Archaeal signal recognition particle RNA". Lineage: Archaea; Methanobacteriati; Thermoplasmatota; Thermoplasmata. The record is from RNAcentral. RNAcentral also lists the same sequence under 2 other names.
CGCCAGGCUUGGUCGGGGAGCUAGGCCCUCCCUCUUGCUUUCAGCAAGCCGCAGAAUGGUCUACAGCGGGACGACAGGCCGGGGGCGGCACAACCAGUACACCAUCGGUCCAAGGGACGACGAUGAAGUAACGUCCUACGGGGUUGGAAGUGAUGUUCGGGGCGGCCGGAGGGUCGCUUCGCCAUCUUGACUACGGGGACCGGGUCAGGCCCGGAAGGGAGCAGCCUAACCGUAGAUUCUCAACGCUCGUUGGGAGCCGGGAUGGAGGAGUCCCGAGGAUCCACCGGUGGCGGACCAGGGUGUCCACUCCGGUCGGCCUGGCA